Aegilops tauschii subsp. strangulata is the source of this 5283-nucleotide non-coding RNA. Lineage: Eukaryota; Viridiplantae; Streptophyta; Magnoliopsida; Poales; Poaceae. The record is from RefSeq and is a predicted model, not a curated record.
CGGCCGCGCCGUACGACUUGGAUCGAGCGCCCGGAGCCGCUGCUGCGGUUGGCCCGCAAAACCACGAGUGCCCACGCACAGUAUUUUAUUACGUCAGCGAGGUCGGGCUACACCUAUGACCUAGUAUCUCACCUGUUUACCAACCGUGCGUGCGUGCGCGUCAGUCAGAAGCUCGGAUAUGGAUAGGGCAGCCGCCGAGGAGAUGUGCAGUGCGGCCGCGGCCGGCGUCCUAGAGCACGCCGGUGAAGGCGUCUCCGGCCUCCGGGGAGGGCAGGGUCUAACGCGCGCUAGCUAGCUGCACCGCUGGCCCGGCCGUCGUGUCUCGCCCGCAGUCGCACCACCAUCAGAUCGAACGUCGUCAGAUCCAUAUCCAGGGAGGACCGACUAUUUGCUUAUGCUUAUGUUCUAUGAUAGGAGGAGUAGCAGCAAAGUACUAACAGGGUAGGAUGUGAUGCUGGAAGACAUGAUGAAGCAGCUAUCUGCCUGCCUGCCUAAAUUAUGAUGGAUUUCUGUCAGGUUUCUUGUGUUGCAUCUGAAAACAGAUCGCUGUAUCUAAGCAGAUUCUGUUCUGCAGUUUGUAUGUAGGCUCCGGACCGGAUCGGCUCCUUCCUCUCCAAAAUUUUAACGAGCCAGGGAAAGAAAGUUCUUCGCCAAAACCCUUACCUGGGAGAGGCCUUAUCCAAGGACGGGAGAAAGAAUAGACCAUCAACAAGCACCCAAUCACGGCCGCGUCCUUCUCUUCGUAUGGUAACCACUGUUGAAAUCUGAAAUCCGCUCUUAUUGGGUUUAAUGGCUGCAGGUCAUGUUUCGGUAAUGUUCAUGAGAUGAAUGCAGGCGCAAGAGUAAUUAAAAGGUAGAGCUGAUGAGUGUGGCUUUAUUCACAUGAUUUCUCCGCACGAGCAAUGUCUCCCUACACAUCUGUUUAUGAGCAUCUUCUUAUAUGUGGUCAUGAUCCUCUUUUAUCAUUUUAUAUCUAUCCAUGAUCUAAUGCUCGUUGCAUUGCAGCCUACGGCAUAUGAUCUUGUUCUCGUCGUAUGGCAUCAGUCGGCACCCCUGUGAAACGUACGUCUUACACCCUGAAAGUAGAUCCAUUCCUUAGUGUGAUAUUGGUAUACUCAUCUUUACUACUCCCCCCGUUCCAUAAUAUAAGAGUGUUUUUGACACUACACUAGUGUCAAAAACACUCUUAUAUUACCUAUUUUAUUACAAUAGCAUUUUACCUAUUUCUCCCCGUUGCCUUGCUUCAGUGUCAUAUCACCUAGCUGCCAGGCUGACGUGUGUAACUAGAUGUUCACCUAACUUGUCAGAAUCCCUACAACUUAAUACAAAUUACAAAAACUGAAAAGGCACCCUCAUUCAUAACAAGGCCAAGAUAUGCAACAUGCUGAGUAACACAACACUAGUUAAAGGUCCCAACAGGGGAAGACCAGAGUCCAUGUAUCAGAACAACAAUUUUGAUUUCAGCCACCCCCAGAACACGCUGUAGAGGUCUCCAUAACUUUUCUUUUUCUUGACCGAAGGAGCGCACAGCUCCCAAAGACAUCCAGCAGUUCCUCAAGUGUCUCAUACAUGGCCUAAAUGAUUUACUUGCCGCUAACCAACAAAUUAGCCAAGGAUAAUUUUGUCCUAACUUCUCUAUAAUUAUAUAAUUUGGUCAUUUUGCUGAAAAUAAUACCCCUUACAUAAAGGGAUGGAGAGAUUACAUAGCAGAGCUUGCUAUGAAAAAGGAACCAAUCAAAUCCCCAUCCGGGGCACCUACCCCUCAUGGUCUCUUGUCGUUAAGUCGUUUGCCCUACAUAGGGCCGACCCUGGUCUUGAGUUGUGGGAGUUGGUAUCAACAAAAGGCAUCUCUCAAAUGGAUUUGAUCGUCUAUCGUGACUAAGUAGAAGCAUCGGUUCCACAUAGUGAGAGCCUAGUCUUGCAUAGGCGCAAGCAAAAUUGUAGGCGCUCAUCCUUACAGGUGAUUACCGCUAGCUUUUAAAUCCAACCUCUAAGGAAAACAUUGUAAAAAAGAGAGAAUGAGAUUGAUUUGCACCUCGUGACCAACUUUCAACUUGAUGGACAUCAAGUUUGUAUUGUAGAACACCGAACCACUUCAACUUUUAUUUUCACAACACCAACUUUCGUCUAGUUUACACAUGGGUUUCCACUUAAACAAGCAAACCUUCAACCGGUCUAAAAUCCAACUUUCAAUCGAAUAACUUGGGGAAUUUUACUAGGAAGUCGAUAGCUUUUAGAUGCGACUCUAUAAUCUCCCAUGUUCAUCUACAUUUCAACCAAGACCACAAAUGAUGUGGCACAUGUACCAUAUCUACUAAUUUCCAUAAAAAAACUCAAGCUAGAGUUGUCCAACUCCAAUGCAAAAGGCAUCAACAAAAUUUUCACACAGAAUAGUGAAGUCCCUUUGGGACAAGCAGAACAAGGCAAAAAAGAAAAAGGAAAUGACCAACCAAUGCAAACUAUUUUUUUGCGAGGGAACCAGUGCAAACUACUGACACAUUGCAAGAGCAUAAAUGUUCGGUUUUAAAAUUCCAAUGAUGGUCUUCAAUGAAAGUGAUUAUAUUAUAUGAUUAUUGGCUGAUUUCUGCCAGCAUUAAACAUAUUCACAUUUUAUGCAUAUUUGCAAAAACAAAACAAAAAACAUCAUGGAAAUCAGGGAGAAUGUUAAAGGUUGAAGAUUCUAGAGGAACUAGUGUUGGAAGUGUAAUGUAUGUCAGUAUGUGCACUAAGUCUCGUUGUAUAGUCUGUACAAGAGCAUGUAUAUAUACAUCUAUAUUCAAUCACUGAGAAAGCAUGCAAUAAAUCCACAAAAAAGCCAGUUAAAUCUAACGUACUCCCUCCUUUCGGAAUUACCGCGACAAGUAAUUUAAAACGGAGGGAGUAGAUACUAAGACGGACACAUCGGUGCUACAUAAGGUAAGUAUAUGGUGAAGGAACCACACAAACUCGAUCCCCUGCCCCCCGCGUCGCCUAACCUAGGCGACACGGGGGGCGAUCUGCCGCCGCCGGCCCAAAGGCCUCCUCCCACGUCCUGUCUCCCCUGUCGCCGCCGGAGGCCACGCCCGUAGCAUGGCCUGUGAUGGCGGCGAGAGGGCUUUCCCCCUCGCGUGGUGCCCGUGUCUUCCCCUGGCGGCGGCGGUGCACGGAACUGCGGGGCACUGGCGGCGUGGAGCAGCGGGUUCCCGGCAGCGAGUGUGACAGCGGCGUCAGCACAGGCCCGAUACCGCGACAGAGGAGCCCCUGUGGCGGCGGCCUAGAUCGCGGAUCUCGCCGUACCCAGAUGGGCUUCGGCGGGCUGGCGGAUCUGGUGAUCGUCUACAGGCGGGGCAUGGUGGGCCUGACGACGCCGGCCUAGGCACCAUGGUGGUGCCAUGGUCGGCCAGGCGGUGGCGGCCUGGAUUCUCCGUCCAGUCCCCGACAGCGACGGCGGCGGUUCGUGUACAAGUUGCUUGAUGGAGGUCCUCUGUUUAGAUCCGGGUGAAAACCUGGCCAAGGCCGGCGGUGACGGCGCUGGUAUGCGGCAUUUCCUUCUUGAAGGCAUCGCCAAUGAGAAGUUCAAGACAGCUAUCUGCUACCUCCGGGGGAAACCCUAGAUCAGUAGAUCGGAUGGCGGUGGCGCGUUGGUGUCGUUUCCUCCUUGGGGGCGUCAUUCUUGGAGGCGUACACGGGAUCGAGGGACCAGUGGGCGGCUUUCUUGGUGGAGUGGUGCUUCAUCCUACACAUUGAUAACGGCGGAUCUCGCCGGCGUGGCACAGUGGAGACUCGGCGCCCGAUGUAUGAGGAUGGACUCGUGCAGGAGGACGACGUUGUCUGGCGUCGUGGUGGCGUCGAUGGCAGAGAUAACUGGCACGGUAGAUGCAACAGUACAACUCUGAAGAUGAAUUGGUGGCACGUGGCUGCGGCGGCCUCAUAACCGGCAGGCGUCCUGGUUGAGGAGUGCGCCGGAAUGGUGGGUGCCCCAUACCCGGCAGGCGUCCUGGUUGGGAUCUCAGGUCUUAGAUGCUAGGUUUAGCUGCGAGGUCUGUUUGGUAUUAGGCCCAGACUAUCAGCAUCCCUACAUCAACUGGAUAGGAGUAGCGACAGAUGUUGCCUAAACGGUGGCUUUAGUCUUACUGUUGUACGACUUUAUAAGGUCUUAUGUGAAGAAUUAAUAAAAUGAGUGCGUGCAUCGUCCAGAUGCAGAGGCCGGGAGUCCUCCUCCAUUUCUUAAAAAAAGGUAAAUAUUGUCCGUCCUGGAAUGUUGUCAAAGUCCGGAAACUCAGAGUCCAAAACUAGGAGGUCAAAACAAACCACAAAAAUGGAUAUGUUUGAUGUAUAUUUGAUCGAUUGGAGUGGUUUCGGCGUGGUUUUGAAUGAGACUUACACGGUGGGAAAAAAAGUUUGGACCAUUGACCUCGGCACGGCAGCCUCGACGUUGACAUGUAAUCCCUCUGCCGAGUUUUGUUGGCGACAGGCAGAGCAUCGCCUUCCCGCAGCUGUUACAUGACCUCGGGCCUCGCCGCAAGAAGACCGACGGUGGCGCAGAGGGGCUCGUGGGGCCCGAACCUGCCAUGACUGGGUUCAGUGCCAGACGGAGCACGCUCCGAGCGAACGACAGCGAGGUCAGCAGUCGCGGCCGUGCCUGGCCGAGCCGCAUCGGCGCCACGUAGAACCGCAGCAUGCCGUUGCCGGCGAGUGCCGCGCCCUGCGGUUCUCUCUGCUCCAGCACGUUACGCACAGCUCCUCCCGCCUCCGCAUCACGUUCCCGUCGACUAGCACCGCGCCUCGAAGCGCCGUGCUCCGCAACUCCCGCCCGCCGGCCGGGACCUCACCGGGAGCUUGUGCCUCGUCUGCCAUCCAUUGACGGCCGGUGCGCGCGAGCUCGUGCGCAUCCAGCGUCUUAGUGCCCGCCACUCCCGUCGAUCUACGUGGCCGCGUCCGGAUGCUGUAUUCGCCAACGUCGACGGAGCUGCAAAGUUCUGGGCGCGGAUACCGGCGGUCCUGGGCCCACACCAUGGUUCACCCGGAGCUAGCUCGCUCAUUGUCGUCAGGAGGUCGCCGUUUCGAGGCACAAGAUACACGGCGGGCUGGCUCACAUGGACCCUGUUCUGGCGAGGUCGACGGUCAAACCUGUGCGCGUGACCGUAGGAGUACGUAGGGUGGAGCAUAAGCUACCAAAUCAAUCGUGCCCGGCCAGUAUAAGAGCAAUCUUCAGCCAUUCGGCCCCCAACCAAAUUCGACGAAAUUCAGUAAAUUUGGACCAAAUAUAGGCGAUUUCAUUGAUAUUUGGCGAAUUUAUAUAGA